CAAGAUUCAGCUUUAACACCGAGUCAAGUGAGCAGCAACGGAGUCAAAUAACAAUGACUGGCCAGUGCUAAUAUUAUUCUGAAAUAUCUGGGUCGUGGUGGGUUCGAGUCAAUGGCCAAAAGGUGUAUUUAGGUUGUGGAUCAAGGUCUAAAACCCAAGACCUUUUGUUUUGAACACACUGAAAUGACAAUCUGUACAGCACACAAAGAGGACACGAUGCUCGGACAUGAUGCUCGGUACACUUAAUCAUUAGUUCCCAGCAUUUCCACAUACUGGACCUGCAGACAGUACAGUGCUUAUUCAGGAAAUAUUUACUUUUUUCUAUUCAGGGUUGUGGUGGGUUCGAGUCAAUGGCCAAAACGUAGGAAACACCGUGGACAGGUUGCCAGUCCAUCACAGCCAAAAUACCAAUGAUUCCUUAAUAUUAAUGGGUUUUUGCUGCCUGAUAAACUGGUUGUUGUUUCCCAUUGUGACAAAAAGGGCUUUGAAACAUGUUUUACCAAAUUAUUUCUUAUGACUAUGAUUGUCUUUCAUGAGGUUUGCAUCCUUGAUGUCACUGAUAAUGAUACUAAAUGUGAAAAGCUUAAAAUUCUGUUUUAAAAUAAAAAAAACCCUGUGUCGUACCUUACCACAUAAUAAAGACUCCAGUAGUGUGA
Molecule: long non-coding RNA, 656 nt
Organism: Trichomycterus rosablanca
Lineage: Eukaryota; Metazoa; Chordata; Actinopteri; Siluriformes; Trichomycteridae
Exons: 3
Source: RefSeq, a predicted model, not a curated record